Molecule: non-coding RNA, 73 nt
Organism: Paramuricea clavata
Lineage: Eukaryota; Metazoa; Cnidaria; Anthozoa; Malacalcyonacea; Plexauridae
Source: the annotation of a GenBank genome assembly
UGUGGCGUAGCUCAGUUGGAAGAGCAUUGGGCUAGUAUUCCAAAGGUCGUAGGUUCGAAUCCCACCGUGGCCG